Molecule: ribosomal RNA, 497 nt
Filed under: uncultured bacterium
Lineage: Bacteria
Description: partial 16S ribosomal RNA
Rfam family: Bacterial small subunit ribosomal RNA
Source: RNAcentral
GAUGAACGCUGGCGGCGUGCCUAAUACAUGCAAGUCGAGCGAACAGACGAGGAGCUUGCUCCUCUGACGUUAGCGGCGGACGGGUGAGUAACACGUGGAUAACCUACCUAUAAGACUGGGAUAACUUCGGGAAACCGGAGCUAAUACCGGAUAAUAUAUUUAACCGCAUUGUUCAAUAGUGAAAGACGGUUUUGCUGUCACUUAUAGAUGGAUCCGCGCCGCAUUAGCUAGUUGGUAAGGUAACGGCUUACCAAGGCGACGAUGCGUAGCCGACCUGAGAGGGUGAUCGGCCACACUGGAACUGAGACACGGUCCAGACUCCUACGGGAGGCAGCAGUAGGGAAUCUUCCGCAAUGGGCGAAAGCCUGACGGAGCAACGCCGCGUGAGUGAUGAAGGUCUUCGGAUCGUAAAACUCUGUUAUUAGGGAAGAACAAAUGUGUAAGUAACUAUGCACGUCUUGACGGUACCUAAUCAGAAAGCCACGGCUAACUACGUG